AGAAAUCGUAUGUCUGUUAAUUUAACCGAUGUGAUUACCUCUACCUAUCUUCUCCUUGAGCUUUAGCUACCUGGGGUGGGUAGGAUCCGAAGAUAUCAUAAGAUGCACAAGCAAACAAGGAUGCCACAGGAAUGACAAUCACAUUUGAAGAAGAUUAUUCACAGUGACUGUGACAGAAUUAGUACGCUGCAAGUCCUGGAAAAUCAACUCGUCAGGGACAUGAGGCAGAACUUCUCGUACUGUUUCAGCCAUGGCAAGUAUAUUGGCUAGAUUGUCAUUUGAAGCACGAGGUACAUUCAUAUUUAAACCACCCA
Molecule: unclassified non-coding RNA, 314 nt
Filed under: Hevea brasiliensis (rubber tree)
Lineage: Eukaryota; Viridiplantae; Streptophyta; Magnoliopsida; Malpighiales; Euphorbiaceae
Source: RNAcentral